GAAGGUUGGCUCAGAGCGGUCGGAAAUCGCUCGUUGAGUGCAAUGGCAGAAGCCAGCCUGACUGCGAGACUGACAAGUCGAGCAGAGUCGAAAGACGGCCAUAGUGAUCCGGUGGUCCCGAGUGGAAGGGCCAUCGCUCAACGGAUAAAAGGUACGCCGGGGAUAACAGGCUGAUACUGCCCAAGAGUCCAUAUCGACGGCAGUGUUUGGCACCUCGAUGUCGGCUCAUCUCAUCCUGGGGCUGGAGCAGGUCCCAAGGGUACGGCUGUUCGCCGUUUAAAGAGGUACGUGAGCUGGGUUUAGAACGUCGUGAGACAGUUCGGUCCCUAUCUGCCGUGGGUGUAGGAUACUUGAGAGGAGUUGCCCCUAGUACGAGAGGACCGGGGUGAACGAUCCACUGGUGGACCUGUUGUUGCGCCAGCAGCAGUGCAGGGUAGCUAUGAUCGGACAGGAUAACCGCUGAAGGCAUCUAAGCGGGAAGCCCCCCUCAAAACAAGGUAUCCCUGAGGGCCGUGGUAGACCACCACGUCGAUAGGCCGGAGAUGUAAGCGCAGCAAUGUGCUCAGUUGACCGGUACUAAUGGCCCGAUAGGCUUGAUUUG
This 601-nucleotide ribosomal RNA is filed under the name bacterium. RNAcentral's name for it is "partial 23S ribosomal RNA". It matches the Rfam family "Bacterial large subunit ribosomal RNA", at positions 2312 to 2925 of the family's 2925-position model. The record is from RNAcentral.